Molecule: long non-coding RNA, 2338 nt
Organism: Homo sapiens (human)
Lineage: Eukaryota; Metazoa; Chordata; Mammalia; Primates; Hominidae
Source: Ensembl
GAGUAACCCAAUAGUGAGGAAGAAAUUGAUGCUGCAGGAGAGAGGGAAUAAUUGCCGAAGCAAAGAUCUUGAGGUACUGAGAAAGGAUGACCCUAAUUUCCUUAAUGCUGCACCAUAUGAUCAGGACGACAGGAGUUGAUUGACCUGCAUCAAACAUUACCUACUAGUCUCCCUCACACAAAACAAAGUAAAAGAGGAGAAUUGGAAGAAAGCAAUACCACUGCAGCCACACUGGGUGCAAGCUUUGAGAAUUCUGGGACUUUGUACACGAGUGAACCAGAGAGAACCUGUGGUGUGCUGGGAAAACCCAUAGGCCCUGCAGAAACAUCUAAUUAGUGUUGAUUUUGAGUAGAGGUUCUCUCUGAGAUACUUCAUCUGCAAAACAAGGAAUGAUACCAGUUCCCUUCCAGGGAUGCCAUAGAAUCGAAUGAGAGUGAUUUAAGCAUAAUACUCACUCAUGGCCUGCUUCCACUGAGGGACUGGAGGCUCCUUGAGCAAAAUUAUCUACCUCUUCACCUUUGGAUCUUUCACAGUUCCCAGUUCGGUGUACUACAGAUUGUACUUGCUAAAUAAAAAAUCAUUGUCAUGGUUUACCUAAAUGCCUGAAGUGUUAAUAAUAAAAAAAAAACCCUUUAUUCCCUCCCAUACACUUUAUAAAUCUACAGGAUUAGAGAAACAGAAUCAUCUAGACAUUUCUGGUGGUAAUGGAAAAUUGUUCAACCACUCUGGAAAAUUGUUUGGCAUUUUCCUAUAAAACUAAACAUGAAAUUACCAUAUGACCCAGAAAUUGCACUCCUGGGCAUUUAUCCCAGAGAACUGAAAACUUAAGUUCACACAAAAAACUUGUAUUAUCCAUGUUUUCAAGUUUCUGUAUAUGAUGUUUUGACAUCUUAGGCCUUGUUAGUAGGAAGAGACUGCCCCUCCCACAGGUUUAGCAGUUGGAAUUCCUAGAGUUAGCAGAAGGCUUUUUGACUCUCAUUAGAGUGUACCUUUCAUAUGUGUGUUAGUCCCUUUUCACGCUGCUAUUGUCUGUAUCAGCCCAUUUCACGCUGCUAUAAAGAAUAUCUGAGACUAGGUAAUUUACAAAGGAAAGUGGUUUGACUCACAGUUCCGCAUGGCUGGGGAGGCCUCAGGAAACUUACAAUCAUGGUGGAAAGUGAAAAGGAAGCAAGGCACUUCUUAUACAGUGGAAGGAGAGAGAGAGUGAACAAUGCAAGUACCACACUUUAAAACCAUCAGAUCUCGUGACAAUUCACUCGCUAUCACAAGAAUAGCAUGGGAGAAAUCACCCCCAUGAUCCAAUCACCUCCCACCCAGACCCACCCUCAACUUGUGAGGAUUACAAUUUGAGAUGAGAUUUGGGUGGGAACACAAAGCCAAACCAUAUCAAUAUGUAAACAAACUGAUCCAAAAUCCACACCCCUGACCUGCCUGUUCUUUCAGGGGUUCUUACUCUUGUAAGACACUAUUCACCUGCCCUAAUCACCCCAAGACUAAGCAUCAGCCAGCUUCAACACCCUGAAGCAUACUGAAAUUAUUCAUAUUAGCCAAGAGUUCUAAACUUGCUUAGCCCAUUUGCUUUAGAGCAAAUGACCCAUUUCUUCCAAGAAAACUAUAGUAAAAGCUUUCCUGAAGUUUCCCUUGCUCUCUCUUUGCCUGCAACUGAUGUUGUUGUUCUCUAGUAUGGUCCUGUGAGGAAUGACACUCUACCCUCCUCUUGGGAACUUUGAAUAAUAAACUUUCUAAUGGCAAUGUCUCCUGAUCUGUUGGGCUCAUCAUACCUGAAUAAAGACAAAACCCCAGGUAUAUUUUAAUAUAAAUCUGCACAUGAAUCUUCACAGUAACUUUAUUCAUAGUAGCCAUAAAACUGGAAAUAACUCAGAUAUCCUUCGAAGAUUGAAUGGUUAAGCAAACCACCAUAUCCAGCCAUGGAUUAUUACUCAACAAUAAAAAGGAACAAACUAUUGAUACAUGUAACAAUUUGGGCGAAUUUCCAGAAUUACUCUGAAUGAAAAAAAAAAAAAGCCAAAUCUAAAAGGCUACAUACUAUAUGAUUCCCUUUACAUAACAUUCUUGAAGGGACAAAAUUAUAGAAAAGAAGAGAUUAGUGGUUGCCAGGGCAUGGGCAGGGCAGAAAAGAGGUGGAUGUGAACGUAAAGAGCAGCAUGAGGGAUUUCUGUGGUGAUAAAACUGUUCUGUAUCUUGACUGUAUCAACACCAAGAUCCUAGGUAUAAUAUUGUAUUAUAUCUCGGAGAAAUGUUACCACUGGGUGAAAUUGAGCAAAGGGUAGACAAUUGUAUGUGAAUCUGCAAUUAUUUCAAAAUAAAAAUUGUAAUU